AGCUAUCCGAAUUAUGCCUGUAUACAAAGCAAAUGAUGGUGUAUGGUCAAUUUAGGCAACCUAAAUACAAAAAAUGAUAAAAAAAAUUAUCAGUAGAGAUUAAUUUUCCUUACUAAAAAUAAUUCACACACAGAAAUAACCACAAUUAUGUUAACAUCCUGAAUAUAAUUUAAAAUAGAGUUUAUUAUUAAAUGAGAUUUAUAGUUUGAAAGUGGAGGAUUAUUAUAAGUUUGUAAAUAAACAUAAAGUGCUGCGUAUAAUCUUGUUUUAUUGGUUAUUUAACAUUAAUUUUUUUUUUUCAGGAGUAUAACAACAAGGGUGAAAGUCUUACAGUACUUUUGUUAAUGACUUUUUAACAAAAAAAGUAUAACUAUUCUAUUAUGACAUUAUUCACGAAGCAUACAACAACUAUAAAGACAAGUAUCUAAAUACGCUAAAUGAUCUAAUACAGAUAAUUAAAUUACAAAAAUCGCUAAUUAUAAUACAUUUCCGUUGACAUCCACCGCUAUCUCACAAAAAAAUUAAUUGAACUUUAACAAGUAAAUAAAAAAAAACUUAAUCAAUUUAUUAUUAUUUCUAGCACAACAAUGGAAAUGAGAAAACUAUUAGAAGAUAUUGUAUGAAGAUAAUGAGUGCCAAAUCAUUCUUAGCUGCCUUAUCUUGU
This is a non-coding RNA of Cinara cedri, 664 nucleotides long. The record is from the annotation of a GenBank genome assembly. Lineage: Eukaryota; Metazoa; Arthropoda; Insecta; Hemiptera; Aphididae.